CAAAUGCAGAAUUCCAGCCAGACUCUCAGGAAAAAGCAAGAGUCCCUGUUCAUAGCUGUAAUCUAUCACCCUACUGUCAUAGCUGGUCUCUGUAAGCAGUGCAGGACCAGUGCCCCUGUAUCAGAGCAGGUGGACCCAGUUGAGCCAAUUAAAGGAAGCAGGGCUACACCUGGGGCUGUAACAGCCUGUCAGAGGCGUAAUGAUUGGGACAGGCUGUACCUGGCACCACAGGCGAGUGGAGCUAACUCCUGUGGUGGAGCUGUUCCAGAAGAGCAGCUGGAGCUGGCUGAAUGAGGACUGGCUGAGCAGGGAGCUGGAAAGCUGCAAGAAGCAGAAUUACCAGAGACCUCUGGGAGAAGAGGCUAGGAUAAAGGCAGAAGCUGCAGAGCUGUGCUCCGCUUGCUAAAAAUUCCCAUGCCUGGAGGAUAGACACCAUCACAUGACAUGCCUGUUCUUUAUGCAGUCCUUGUGUGUCUCAAUUGAACAGAAAGCUACUAUCGUAAGAUUACAAUAGGCUUUUCAACAUCCUCCAGAAGUCCUCCUGCUAAUCCUGGAAAUCUCUAGCCAGAACAUUGAAUAAGGACUCAUUUCUACAUUCUUUGCACACAUUAAGUUAGUCACACAGAAUGUUUUAAUACCAUAUACUUCUACGUACGGGCUGUGGCAACAAGGACACCAGCACCUGGCUCUUACAGUAUGAUGGGGAUAGCAAUCUUCUAUGACAGGAGUUGGUAACCUCUUGGUUCUUUGAAUUGUCUCAGGAGGAACAGGAAAGAAUCUUACACUGAUUUAUUUGACUAUAAAGAAGUGGUUCCUAAUGAUUUUGUACAUCUGAGCAAAGAUGUUACUACUAAUGAGAGACUGGGGG
Molecule: long non-coding RNA, 868 nt
Organism: Chelonia mydas (Green sea turtle)
Lineage: Eukaryota; Metazoa; Chordata; Testudines; Cheloniidae
Exons: 3
Source: RefSeq, a predicted model, not a curated record